This 253-nucleotide ribosomal RNA is filed under the name uncultured bacterium. RNAcentral's name for it is "partial 16S ribosomal RNA". It matches the Rfam family "Bacterial small subunit ribosomal RNA", at positions 524 to 776 of the family's 1533-position model. The record is from RNAcentral.
UACGGGGGGUGCGAGCGUUGUCCGGAAUCACUGGGCGUAAAGGGCGCGUAGGCGGCCUUCUAAGUCGAACGUGAAAUCCCCGGGCUCAACCCGGGAACUGCGUCCGAGACUGGAAGGCUUGAAUCCGGGAGAGGGACGUGGAAUUCCAGGUGUAGCGGUGAAAUGCGUAGAUAUCUGGAGGAACAUCGGUGGCGAAGGCGGCAUCCUGGACCGGUAUUGACGCUGAGGCGCGAAAGCCAGGGGAGCAAACGGG